GGUACCCUAUGAAUCUAGUGGAAUCACUUCUGCACAAACUUGACUACUGAAAUCAGUGUGCGGAAAUGCUUCUGCUACAUUUUUAGGGUCU
Molecule: microRNA precursor, 91 nt
Filed under: Malurus cyaneus samueli
Lineage: Eukaryota; Metazoa; Chordata; Aves; Passeriformes; Maluridae
Description: miRNA (ENSMCSG00000004635.1)
Rfam family: mir-147 microRNA precursor family (bases 8-85)
Source: RNAcentral